UAUUUAGAUCUAAGUUUUGGAGUUAUUUGAUUGGAGGGCUUUCUAAUGGCAUCAGCUGCGAUUUUCUCGUCUCUAAGGCGGCGGAGAUCGCCGUCGUUGGAGGCGUUCUUGGCUCCUGUUGAUUUAACCGAUGUCGCCCUUAUACAAACCCUGGCAUCGGUGUCAACGGAGCUGGUAUCGUGUUUCUCGGGCAAAUCGUUCUUCUUUCAGCGAAAGAAUUCGCGGUCUCUGAUUCGAAAGAUUGAGCUUUUCGUUGUUCUGUUGGAGUAUUUGAGGGAUUCUGGGUCAGGUCCCAAUUUGUCUUCCACGACGAUUGUUUGUUUUAAGGAGCUCUAUUUGCUUUUGUACCGGUCCAAGAUAUUGCUUGAUUAUUGUGCGCAAUCGAGUAAGUUAUGGCUGUUGCUACAAAACCAGUCCAUUUCGGGGCAUUUUCAUGAUCUGAAUCAGGAAAUAUGGACCCUUUUGGACGUUUUUCCUUUGGGAAAUCUUGAAUUGAGCGACGAUGUUCGGGAGCAGAUUGAGCUCAUGCAAAAACAGACGAGGAAAGCAAGGUUAUAUAUUGAUAAAAACGAUGAGGCUUUGCGGGUUAGGCUCUUUUCAUUUCUUGAUGAGUUUGAGAAUGGGAGGAUUUCUAGUGUGGUGGAGCUGAGGUCGUUCUUUGUGGAUAAUUUGGGGAUAAGGGAUGCCAAGAGUUGUAGAACAGAGAUUGAGUUCUUGGAGGAACAGAUUGUUAAUCAUGAGGGAGAUGUUGAACCAACGGCUUCGGUGCUUAAUGGAUUUGUUGCAAUAACACGGUAUUGUAGGUUUUUGCUUUUUGGGUUUGAGACAAAUGAGGUGGAGUUGCAAUUUGGGAGUCAGAAGAAGCCAAGAAAAGGGUUGAUCUCUCAAGAGAUUGCAGACACUUUUAUCUCUAUACCGAAAGAUUUUUGUUGCCCAAUAUCAUUGGAUUUGAUGCGAGAUCCUGUGAUAAUUUCUACAGGGCAGACAUACGAUCGGAGUUCAAUAUCUAGAUGGGUAGAGGAAGGGCAUUCUACGUGCCCCAAGACAGGGCAAAUGCUCACCAACACCCGCCUUGUCCCCAAUCGAGCUUUGAAGAAUUUGAUUGUACAAUGGUGCACUGCUCAUGGAAUCCCUUUUGAGCCCCCAGAGAACACAGAUUCAUCUGCAGAGGCUUUUGCUGCAACGUUGCCUACCAAAGCUGCAAUAGAAGCCAACAGAGCCACAGCAAGACUUCUCAUUCAACAACUGGCAAAUGGGUCACAAGGUGCAAAAACUGUUGCUGCUCGCGAGAUCCGUUUGUUAGCAAAAACAGGAAAAGAAAACCGUGCUUUCAUUGCCGAAGCUGGGGCAAUUCCCCAUCUCCGCAAGCUGCUAUCAUCUUCAAACCCCGUUGCUCAAGAGAAUUCUGUAACAGCAAUGCUUAAUCUUUCAAUUUAUGAUAAGAACAAAAGCCACAUUAUGGAUGAAGAGGGGUGCUUGGGAUCUAUUGUCGAAGUAUUAAGGUUUGGGCUCACUACAGAGGCAAGGGAAAAUGCAGCAGCAACGUUGUUUAGCCUGUCAGCAGUUCAUGAUUACAAGAAGAGAAUAGCAGAUGAGGAAGGGGCUGUGGAAGCCCUGGCAGGGCUGUUGAGAGUGGGGACACCGCGUGGGAAGAAAGAUGCAGUAACUGCUUUGUUUAAUCUGUCAACUCAUACGGAAAAUUGUGCGAGAAUGAUUGAGGCAGGGGCUGUUACAGCACUAGUAGGUGCUCUGGGAAUUGAAGGGGUUGCAGAGGAAGCAGCAGGAGCAUUGGCUUUGAUUGUGAGGCAGCCAAUUGGGGCUGAAGCAGUGGGUAGGGAGGAAAUGGCUGUCACAGGGUUAAUAGGAAUGAUGCGGUGUGGGACUCCAAGAGGGAAAGAAAAUGCUGUUGCAGCCUUGCUUGAGUUGUGCAGGAGUGGUGGGGCGGCUGCGACUGAGAGAGUAAUCCGUGCACCAGCAUUGGCUGGUUUACUGCAGACUUUGCUGUUCACGGGUACAAAGAGAGCAAGAAGGAAGGCAGCAUCACUUGCUAGAGUGUUUCAAAGGUGUGAGAAUUAUGCCUUGCAUUUUGGUGGAUUGGGUGCUGGAUAUGCAUUUGCUGGCAACUCUGCUACAAAUCGGGAUUCAAGUUUCGUUGGUGAUGUCUCAGUGGCCAUGUCCAUCUCAGUACCCGUUUUGUAAUGGUAACAAACAGUCUUGUCGUUGUCUACCAUGAUUAUAUGUGUCCGUUUUUUGGUUCGUAAUAUUUACAAAUUCUUUCAUUGAAAUUUAGAUGAUAAAAGAGAAUUUUAC
Molecule: unclassified non-coding RNA, 2310 nt
Filed under: Hevea brasiliensis (rubber tree)
Lineage: Eukaryota; Viridiplantae; Streptophyta; Magnoliopsida; Malpighiales; Euphorbiaceae
Source: RNAcentral